This is an RNA transcript of Lytechinus pictus (painted urchin), 3217 nucleotides long. It is a transcript of the gene named surfeit locus protein 1-like, with no coding region annotated. The record is from RefSeq and is a predicted model, not a curated record. The transcript has 9 exons. NCBI's taxonomy places the organism in Eukaryota, Metazoa, Echinodermata, Echinoidea, Temnopleuroida, Toxopneustidae.
UGGAUCUGGAUUCAUUAUUCACCAUCCACUGCAUGCUGAGCAGUGAGUGCUGACGGCCUAAUCAUUUUCUCCUUCGUGCUUCAAAUUACAACAACGCUUCAUGAUGAAUAGGAUCAGGAUAAAAAUAAUGGAUAUUUCUACCAGAACUUUUGUAUUUCAGAGGAUGUUAUUCCGAAAGAGAGGUCUGUCUCAAACGUCAUCUAUCUGUCAUCGCCUCUGCUCCUCCCAAGCAAACGAAGGAGGGUCUUCUUUCAUGAGCAAUCUCCUUCUAGUCAUACCAGUAGCCGCCUUUGGUCUCGGUACGUGGCAAGUGCAGAGACGUAAAUGGAAACUAGGACUCAUCAAGGAUCUGCAAGAGAGGUCUAAUGCCCCUCCUGUACCCUUGCCUCUAGAUUCCACAGAAUUGAAUGAACUGGAGUACAAGAGGGUCAGUGUGCGAGGAUCGUUUGACCAUAGUAGAGAGAUGUACAUUCUUCCAAGGAGUCUAUUGAAAGCAGACGAGGGCGGUCAUUCUGGUAGUCUGAUGGGCAGCGGAGAUACUGGUGUCCACGUCGUCACCCCAUUCCACUGCUCAGACCUAGGUGUUGAUAUUCUUGUGAACAGAGGCUGGGUUACAAGGAAAAACCAGGAUCCACAGAAAAGACUUGCUGGGCAGCAAACCGGUGAAGUUGACUUGGUGGGUUGUGUUAGAUUGACAGAAAAGAGGGCGCAAUUCAUGCCUAACAACGAUGAAGUGAAGAACAGAUGGCACUAUCGUGAUCUUGAAGCCAUGUCGAGAGUUGCCAAUACGCUACCUAUAAUGAUCGAUGCUGAUUCAGCUAGCACAGUGCCUGGUGGACCUAUAGGAGGACAGACAAGAAUCAGUCUUAGGAACGAACACAUGCAGUAUAUAUUUACAUGGUAUAGUUUGUCCCUCUUCACGAGUCUGAUGUGGUACUAUGGUGUCUACAAAAAGCGAAUUGUUGCACCGAGGAUCUAGAUUCAACAUUGAAGGGCUUGCGUCAGCUUGUGAUGAUGAAGGAAGUUCUCUUGGGUGACCAUAUAAACUGCAUUGCUGCUCUCAAAAUUCCCCUUGUACAAACGCUGGUACUGAGGCAGUUUUUCAACAAAUAGCUGUACUCCUGAGGGCUUAUUUUGAGGGCUGCAACAUGAAAUCGAUUUGCUGAGAUUGCAGAUUUGCACAACUGUACAUGUCUCGAUUGAUGCUGUCUAGGAAUUCUUUACAAACUCAUGGUCGCGUAGAACCGAAGGGUCCAAGUAUCCGAUCCAAUCAAGUAUCGAGCUGACUGCACACUCCUGAGAGUCAAUAUUGCUACUAUUUAUGCAAUUUUCCGGAAAGGCAUGAAAAAGUUAAUUAUUCAGGAUUUAUUUUCUCUCAACUGUGAAUCAUCCGUGGAGAAAACUAUCCUACUGUCCACAAAUUGUUUUUGGUAAAAUCUGGACCCAUUUGCUGGAUACCAAGUUGUCAUGGAAACUGUAAUUUUUAUCCUUUGUAAAUCAUGGAAUGUGUGUGUGGAUGAGACCCAUUAAACAAUCACACAUUCUCGGACCACUGAAAAGUUUUUUUUUUAUGUAGAUUGUUUUCAAUAUCAUCAUUAGUUCAAAUUCUUUAGUUUCUACUAUUUGACUGUAACAGUUAUGAGUAGAAUUCUUCACCGAGACUUAUUGAAAAUUCAAAAUUCUAAUGAAUGCAUAUUGUAUCAGUUCAUAUGUUUGUACUCUAAAUGUAUAUCGUCUCAUGGAGUGGAAAUUGUGCACUUUUCGUGCGGGAUUGAAAUAAAUCCAAUGACCAGGGUAAUAAUAUGCUGUAACGCGCUUUGAGCCAUUCUGGGAAAAGCGCUAUAUAAAAAUUGGCUAUUAUUAUUAUUAUUUUAUUUGGUGAAAGUCAUCAAAGUGACGAUAGAGGAUAAAUUGUUCUUAGAAGAUUGUAUGGUCAUUCCUCUUCCCUGCUGUUAUUCCGGACUUUUCGCAUUUACUACGGGGAAACCUCUACAACGCACCAAUUCCUAUGGAAAUAAAAGUCAAAUCACAAUGGAGAGCCAAGAGGCUUUUGUCGAAAGUUGGUGGACCAGGACAGCAUCGGAAUCUCGACUCUGGACGACAUAUUUGCAAAUCUUCGUAUGAUCUGCUGUCCCAGUCCACCCACUUUAGACAAAAGCCUCUCAGCUCUCCAUUGUGACUUUAAUUGCAUUUUCAAAGGAAUCAGUGCGUUUUCUCGAGUUUCCCUGUAGUAAAUGCGAAAACUAUUAAUCACAAUAACCAACAUGAUUCGAAUAAAUGUUGAUUUGGAAGAACUAGGGGUGUUGCAUCACGUGUAUUUGUAAUCAAACGCAAAUUUCCAAUUUUUAAUUGAUUGAUGCUCCGUUGCAUGUAAGCUGCUAAAUUAUAAAGGUCAUUUUGCCUCCGACGAAGAUUCUGCCAGGAUCGAAAGCUUAGGCCCCUUUUGACUCUCUAAUUUACUCCAUUGGCUCUUUUAUUAGAUAAGCAGUUUUCGGCAGCUUUUUUCUGCCAAAUUAUAAAGGUCUAUUUUUGAUGUCAUUGUCCCACAAAAUCACAUCAGAGCCCUGUGGUGCAAAGCAUCGCAGAAGUACAUUCUCUUUGAAGGUGGCCAAUAUUUUGAGCUCCAAAGAGACUUUACUUUUAUGUACAUGUAUCUAUCCUUUCUUUCAAGAUUAUCUUUCUUGCAAGAUUGAGUAAAUGUGGUUUGCAGGGACUAGAAAAAGGAUUAAGUACAUGGCUAUCAUAGUUGCUAUGAUAGCAACUCUUGCUGGAAUGUCAACUUUCAUUGGAAGAGCCAAUCAGGAAGUAGGGUAUUCACUGUUGUCAUGGUAGUUGACAUUCCAGCAAGACUCGCUAUCAUAUAAACUGUUUAUGAAAUGGGGCCCAGGGCCCCAUUUCAACUACCAUGACAACAGUGAAUACCCUACUUCCUGAUUGGCUCUUCCAACGAAAAUUGACAUUCCAGCAAGAGUUGCUAUCAUAGCAACUUUUUAUUAAAUGGGGCCCAUGUACUUAAUCCUUUUUCUAGUCCCUGCAGGGCCCCAGUUUAUAAAAAGUAAAAUGAUAUUCACUAUUCAUUUCAUGAAUAGAGAGAUGUGUGUGAUUCAUUUGUAGAAAUCAAUCAAUAGAAAAGUAAUAAUUAUAGUAAGUAAUUUGUAAAUUAUUUUCUAUGUAAAAUCUAUUAUUGUGUAAUAAAUUUUGAUGCUUCAUCUUGUAA